Long non-coding RNA from Arabidopsis thaliana (thale cress), 200 nucleotides. RefSeq annotates it as other RNA. The transcript has a single exon. The record is from RefSeq. Lineage: Eukaryota; Viridiplantae; Streptophyta; Magnoliopsida; Brassicales; Brassicaceae.
ACAUUAAUAAUUAGAGCUUGCUUGAAGGAAGUAUGAUGGUUAAGAAGAUUAACUAAUGAUUAAAAUAGAUGAACACAUUAAUCAUUGGAUACCUUAAUUAGUAAGCAGUGGUGUUGAGCAGAACUUGAAAACCUUAGAGCUUCUCUUCUACGUUGUAUCUCAAAAGUAUCAAAAUUGUGUUCCUCAGCUUCCCUUUUUAU